Molecule: ribosomal RNA, 519 nt
Filed under: Hastula solida
Lineage: Eukaryota; Metazoa; Mollusca; Gastropoda; Neogastropoda; Terebridae
Description: partial 16S ribosomal RNA
Rfam family: Bacterial large subunit ribosomal RNA
Source: RNAcentral
CUUGUAUUUGAAUGGUAGAUAAGGAGUCGGACCUGCCCGGUGAGGAAUUUCCUUUAACGGCCGCGGUACUCUGACCGUGCAAAGGUAGCAUAAUCAUUUGCCUUAUAAUUGAAGGCUGGUAUGAAUGGUUUGACAAGAAUAUAACUGUCUCUUUGCUGAUUUAAUAGAAUUUUAUCUUUGGGUGAAAAAGCCCAAAUUGUAUUAAAAGACAAGAAGACCCUAUCGAGCUUUAAAGGAUUAAGUGGAUUAAAAAGUCUAUAUGUGUUUAUAAAGGGCGAAGCCAUUUUAUAUUUUGGUUGGGGCGACUGAGGAACAUGUAAAGCUUCCUUCAUAGUUUUUAAACUUGCAGGUUUUGAUCCAAGAUUGUUGAUUAAGGGAAUUAGUUACCGUAGGGAUAACAGCAUUAUCUUUCUUGAGAGUUCAUAUCGAAAGAAGGGUUUGUGACCUCGAUGUUGGACCAGAAUGUCCUGAAGAUGCAGAAGUCUUCAAGGGUUGGUCUGUUCGACCAUUAAAAUUCUA